RNAcentral lists this ribosomal RNA (383 nucleotides) under Lobulia huonensis. RNAcentral describes it as "Lobulia sp. KTamar-2021b partial small subunit ribosomal RNA". It matches the Rfam family "Bacterial small subunit ribosomal RNA", at positions 794 to 1384 of the family's 1533-position model. The record is from RNAcentral. Lineage: Eukaryota; Metazoa; Chordata; Lepidosauria; Squamata; Scincidae.
GCUUAGCCCUAAACACAGAUAUACCAACACAAUAUUAUCCGCCAGAGAACUACAAGCGAAAAGCUAGAAACUCCAAGGACUUGGCGGUGCUUCAAACCAACCUAGAGGAGCCUGUCCUAUAAUCGAUAUUCCACGCUUAACCUUACCCCCUCUAGCCAACCAGCCUAUAUACCGCCGUCGUCAGCCUACCUUAUGAAAGAAUAAAAGUAAGCAAAACAGCUAUUAACUAACACGUCAGGUCAAGGUGUAGCAUAUGGGGGGGACAGAGAUGGGCUACAUUUUCAAAACGAACAUACAAAUAACACGUUGAAACACGUGUUUGAAGGUGGAUUUAGUAGUAAGACAGAUAAGAAAAACUGUCUGAAACCUGCUCUGAAGCGCGC